RNAcentral lists this unclassified non-coding RNA (2522 nucleotides) under Hevea brasiliensis (rubber tree). Lineage: Eukaryota; Viridiplantae; Streptophyta; Magnoliopsida; Malpighiales; Euphorbiaceae. The record is from RNAcentral.
GCAACGAAUAACUUAUGUAGACAUCGGCUCUUUGUUGACCAGUUAAGAAAUAUUUAUUUCUCCAUCUACUGCCACGGUAGCCUAUUGCUUCUACUUAUACCACUGUACCACUCUUCACAGACAAUACUGGCAGCCUUUCCAGCUAAUUAGACCACUGCCAUCAAACCACUAAAUUGCAAAUUUUGACAACCACCUUUUUCUCAGUCACCCAUGUCUGAUUUCUCUCGCUUUUCCCUCCCCCUUCCCAGAAACCAAGCAAAGUUGAUCUCCCCAAGAAGGCCCCACCCUUCUUUAUCUCUGUCUCUUCUCUCCUUCUUAUCUGAUCCAUCGUCUCUGCGUAUCACUCUAUCUUUUCUUCUUUCUUCCUUCCUUUAGCUUGUCACAGAGCUAAAGAAGCUGACAUUAAAGAAGUGAUAUAUUCUUAUUCCCAUUUUCCUGUAUUACAGCAACGAGUAAAAUACUCAGCCUUUGAUACAUAAGAAUUGGUCACCGCACUACCUCAACUGCCCCCUCCAUUCUUUAAUCAAGAAAAUCAAAAUCCUUCCUUUCUGCAUUACAAAUCACACCCACUAGAUUAACCUCAAGAGAGCAACAAUGGAGAAGGGUUUUCUUCCUCUCUUCAUUUUUGCUUUCUUUGUUUCCACUUGCAGUGAGUAUUCUCUCAAAAAUAUAUGAUACGGGUUUUUUGCGUUGUCUUCUUUUUCUCUAAUACAUGUUUCGUUCCUUGCAGGAGCAGAGAUCUCGAACAAGGUGGGAAUCAACUGGGGCGGAUUGGGAAACAAGCUCCCAUCACCUCCGCAGUCAGUGGAGCUCGUCAAAUCUCUCGGAGCCAAACGCGUCAAAAUCUACAAUGCCGACCCAGAUAUCCUUAAUGCCCUCAAGAACACCGACAUCGUAGUCUCCAUCAUGGUGCCAAACGAAAUCAUUGCCAACAUCUCCAAAAGCCAAUAUCUCUCCGAUCAAUGGGUCCAAACCAAUGUUGUGCCUUUCUACCCCGAGGUUAAAAUCCGAUAUCUACUUAUCGGGAACGAAAUCCUCACGAACCCUGAUAUUGGGACAUGGUACAACCUUGUGCCGGCCAUGCGUCGAAUCAAGAGUUCCUUGAAAACCCACAAAAUCCACAAGGUCAAAGUUGGGACCCCAUCGGCAAUGAAUGUCCUGGAAUCGUCAUUCCCACCUUCAAAUGGAACUUUCCGGUCUGAUAUUUCGGAUCCGAUUAUCAAACCAAUGUUGCAGUUUUUAAACCGGACCAAAUCUUUUUUCUUCGUUGACAUCUACCCUUAUUUCGCUUGGGCCGAAAACCCGAAAGACAUCAAUCUCGAUUAUGCUCUUUUCCAGUCCAAGAAUAUAACGUACGCCGACCCGGUCACCAACCUAACCUACACCAACCUCUUUGACCAAAUGAUGGAUGCUCUUGUCUUCGCCAUGAAACGGCUCGGAUACCCGGAUAUCCGGAUUUUCAUUGCGGAAACGGGUUGGCCCAAUAACGGAGAUCUCGACCAAAUCGGUGCCAAUAUUUACAACGCCGCCACUUACACCCGCAACGUGGUAAAAAAGCUCACCAUCAAACCCGCCAUUGGCACCCCUGCCCGACCCGGAUCUGUAGUGCCUUCUUUCAUUUUUGCAUUGUAUAAUGAAAAUCAGAAACCAGGUCCUGGCACCGAGCGGCACUUUGGGUUGCUAUACCCUAACGGUUCAAAAGUGUUCGAGAUCGAUCUUAGUGGAGAAACACCUGAAUCGGAAUAUACAAAGCCGUUACCUGCACCGACAAAUAAUGAACCCUAUAAAGGAAAGGCAUGGUGCGUGGUGGCUGAAGGAGCGAAUAAGACUGCGCUGUUGGAUGCGAUAUCGUACGCAUGCUCGCAGGGGAACAAAACUUGCGAGCAGAUCCAGCCCGGAAACAGGUGUUAUAAACAGGAUUCUUUGAUUUGGCAGGCGAGCUACGCGUUUAGUUCGUAUUGGGCCCAGUUCAUGAAGGCGGGCGGGUCCUGUUAUUUCAACGGGUUAGCAACUCAGACCGCUAAAGAUCCGAGUUUCGGGCACUGCAAAUUUCCAAGUGUGACUCUUCAAGGCUGAAUUCAGCAAGUGAUUUGGGUGCCCAUUUUGCUAUAUUGUUGAGAGCUAAUAAAGUAUAUAAUUACUAAAAUGGGUGCCCAAAUCACUUAGCCUUUUUAGCAUAUGCUAUUUUAUGGCUUAUUCUGGAAGAGGCUAGAGAGAGGAUUUGCAACGGCUACAUGUAUUCACUAUUCAGCUUACUUAGUGUUUUUGAACACAACGGCUAAUUUAUUUUUUAUUUUAUAUUUUAUUAUCAUGUGUAAUGGUUCUCCAUUGGAUCUGACAGUAGCCUUUUUAGCUAUUUGGACCAGUCGUGGGUAUUUAUUCUAUGUUCUUAGAUUUUGCCCAAAAGACGGCAUUGUGGGCUUGAGAAAGAUAGAUCAAUUACCCGUGCUAGUAUAAAUGAAUGAUAAUUCCCAUCAAUUAAUGAAGAUUGUCCAAGUUACGAUAUUAUUUUCAUGGCAAAA